Molecule: ribosomal RNA, 1698 nt
Filed under: Craterocephalus stramineus (strawman)
Lineage: Eukaryota; Metazoa; Chordata; Actinopteri; Atheriniformes; Atherinidae
Description: 16S ribosomal RNA
Rfam family: Bacterial large subunit ribosomal RNA
Source: RNAcentral
CACUCAACAGCUAGCCCACACAAUGUUUACCCAACACUCAAAUAUUAAUAAUACCAAAAGUCCUAAUACCCCAAAACCAAACCAUUUUUCCACUUAAGUAUAGGUGAUAGAAAAAGAUUCUUCGGCGCAAUAGAGAAAGUACCGCAAGGGAACGCUGAAAGAGAAGUGAAACAAUUCAGUUAAGUAAAGAAAAGCAGAGCUUUAACCUCGUACCUUUUGCAUCAUGUUCUAGCUAGAGACCAUCAAGCGAAAAGCAUUUUAGUUUGACAACCCGAAACUAAGUGAGCUACCCCAGGACAGCCUAAGAAUAGGGCCAACCCGUCUCUGUGGCAAAAGAGUGGGAAGAUCUUCGGGUAGAGGUGAUAAGCCUACCGAACUUAGUUAUAGCUGGUUACCUAGAAAUUGAAUAGAAGUUCAGCCUCUUGAAUUCUCCCCUCUUUUAUGGGCCUCUGCCUUGAAUUAAGACCAAGAGAAAUCUAGAGAGUUAGUCACAGGGGGUACAGCCCCUCUGAAACAAGAUACAACUUUAUUUAGGAGGAUAAGGAUCAAACUCGACUAAGGCAAAAUAUUUUAGUGGGCCUAAAAGCAGCCACCACAAAAGAAAGCGUUAAAGCUCGGAUAUUUUUAAAAGCCCCUAAUUCUGAUCACAAAAUCCAACUCCCCUUUAUUUACUAGGUCUUCCCAUAACUACCUAUGGGAGCGAUCAUGCUAGUAUGAGUAAUAAGAGGCAUGAGCCUCUCCACGCACAGGUGUAAUUCGGAACGGACAUACCACCGAAAAUUAUUCGCUCCCAAAAUCAGAGGGCACUGGGCUAAAAAAAGAAAACUAGAAAACCGCCCAAACCCCAGCGUUAACCCUACACUGGUGCGCAAACAUGGAAAGACUAAAAGGAAGAGAAGGAACUCGGCAAACUUAUAUAAAGCCUCGCCUGUUUACCAAAAACAUCGCCUCUUGCCUGACUAACAUAAGAGGUCCCGCCUGCCCUGUGACUAUAAGUUUAACGGCCGCGGUAUUUUGACCGUGCAAAGGUAGCGCAAUCACUUGUCUUUUAAAUGAAGACCCGUAUGAAUGGCACGACGAGGGCUUAACUGUCUCCUCUCCCCAGUCAAUGAAAUUGAUCUCCCCGUGCAGAAGCGGGGAUACAACCAUAAGACGAGAAGACCCUGUGGAGCUUUAGAUAAUAGAACAGACCAUGUUAAUACUCCCCAACUAAGGGGCAAAACUAAUUGGACCCUGUCCUUAUGUCUUUGGUUGGGGCGACCGCGGGGCAAAGAAAACCCCCCACGUGGAAUGGGAGCACCUCCUCCUACAACUAAGAGUGACAGCUCUAAGUACCAGAACAUCUGACCAUUUUGAUCCGGCUUACUGCCGAUCAACGAAACGAGUUACCCCAGGGAUAACAGCGCAAUCCUCUUUUAGAGCCCGUAUCGACAAGAGGGUUUACGACCUCGAUGUUGGAUCAGGACAUCCUAAUGGUGCAGCCGCUAUUAAGGGUUCGUUUGUUCAACGAUUAAUAGUCCUACGUGAUCUGAGUUCAGACCGGAGUAAUCCAGGUCAGUUUCUAUCUAUGGAAUGAUUUCUUCUAGUACGAAAGGACCGAAGAGAAGGGGCCCAUACUUUAAGUACGCCCCAUCCUUACCUAAUGAAAACAACUAAAAUAGGCAAAAGGGCAUGCCCCUUUGUCUGAGAUAAUGACAU